GGGAGUGUCUGUGUCUUGUGAUGAGGAAGGGAGUGUGUUGUUGACAAUGUAGAAUAUAGUCCUCCCUAUCGUCCUUAUUUUCCUUUAAAACUAGUCACAAUAAAAUCUUGGCUAUUCGUUCUGAAACUUCCAUACGGCUAAGAGGUCUUUAAUCAUGCACCAUCCACACCAUCCACACGGGCCACCUCCAUGUCCUCCCCCAUGUAACCCAUGUGAUCCCCACCACCACCCUGUUCAUUGUCCACCCCAUCAUGGGGGUCCUCCUCAUCACCCCCAUGGACCUCAUCAUGGACACCACCAUCCUCAUGACCACCAGCAUCAUCAUGGCCACCAUGGACCACACAGCCACCAUGGACAUCAUGGCCCUCAUGGACAUCAUGGGAAGCCUUGUUAGCAUAUUAUUUUAUACAUAACUUUUGUAGAAUAAGUAACACUGAGGACCAUGAAGAUGACUUCAGCCCAGUUUAUCCUAAUCUGACUUCUAAAAAUGUCUUCUAUUUGUCUGUGGUCUUUGUAGACAAAAGUUGUUACAGCAAUAAAAGUUUGAAAUAUGUUAUUAAAGGCUUUGCAGUUUGUUACUGAACUAUACAUAUU
Molecule: long non-coding RNA, 594 nt
Organism: Hyla sarda
Lineage: Eukaryota; Metazoa; Chordata; Amphibia; Anura; Hylidae
Exons: 4
Source: RefSeq, a predicted model, not a curated record